RNAcentral lists this ribosomal RNA (101 nucleotides) under Staphylococcus aureus. Its description in RNAcentral is "partial 23S ribosomal RNA". It matches the Rfam family "Bacterial large subunit ribosomal RNA", at positions 1 to 101 of the family's 2925-position model. The record is from RNAcentral. Lineage: Bacteria; Bacillati; Bacillota; Bacilli; Caryophanales; Staphylococcaceae. RNAcentral also lists the same sequence under 1 other name.
GAUUAAGUUAUUAAGGGCGCACGGUGGAUGCCUUGGCACUAGAAGCCGAUGAAGGACGUUACUAACGACGAUAUGCUUUGGGGAGCUGUAAGUAAGCUUUG